CCUACGGGAGGCUGCAGUAAGGAAUAUUGCCCAAUGGACGAAAGUCUGAGGCAGCAACGCCGCGUGCGCGAUGAAGGCCUUCGGGUCGUAAAGCGCUUUUCGGGGAGAUGAGGAAGGACAGUACCCCCGGAAUAAGGUACGGCUAACUACGUGCCAGCAGCCGCGGUAAAACGUAGGUACCAAGCGUUAUCCGGAUUCACUGGGCGUAAAGCGCGUGCAGGUGGUAGGGUAAGUCGGGCAUGAAAACUCUUGGCUCAACUGAGAGACGCUGUCCGAUACUGCCAAACUUGAGGGUGUAAGAGGGAGGUGGAAUUCCGCAUGUAGUGGUGAAAUGCGUAGAUAUGCGGAGGAACACCAGUGGCGAAGGCGGCCUCCUGGUACACUCCUGACACUCAGACGCGAAAGCUAGGGGAGCGAACGGGAUUAGAUACCCUGGUAGU
This 440-nucleotide ribosomal RNA is filed under the name uncultured bacterium. RNAcentral describes it as "bacterial SSU rRNA". It matches the Rfam family "Bacterial small subunit ribosomal RNA", at positions 338 to 794 of the family's 1533-position model. The record is from RNAcentral.